GAUGAACGCUAGCGGCAGGCUUAAUACAUGCAAGUCGAGGGGCAGCAGGUCCCGCAGCAAUGCGGGAUGCUGGCGACCGGCAAACGGGUGCGGAACACGUACAGAACCUUCCUUUAAGUGGGGAAUAGCCCGGGGAAACCCGGAUUAAUACCCCGUAACAUAAUGAAGUGGCAUCACUUUAUUAUUGUAGCAGCAAUGCGCUUGAAGAUGGCUGUGCGGCUGUUUAGGUAGUUGGCGGGGUAACGGCCCACCAAGCCUACGAUCAGUAACUGGUGUGAGAGCACGACCAGUCAAACGGGCACUGAGACACGGGCCCGACUCCUACGGGAGGCAGCAGUAAGGAAUAUUGGGCAAUGGACGCAAGUCUGACCCAGCCAUGCCGCGUGGAGGAUGAAGGUCCUCUGGAUUGUAAACUUCUUUUAUCUGGGAAGAAAUCUAUUUUUUCUAAAGUAGUUGACGGUACCAGAUGAAUAAGCACCGGCUAACUCCGUGCCAGCCGCCGCAGUAA
This 508-nucleotide ribosomal RNA is filed under the name uncultured bacterium. Its description in RNAcentral is "partial 16S ribosomal RNA". It matches the Rfam family "Bacterial small subunit ribosomal RNA", at positions 28 to 523 of the family's 1533-position model. The record is from RNAcentral.